GGAAGUAAAAGUUGUAACAAGGUUUCCGUAGGUGAACCUGCGGAAGGAUCAUUAUUGUAUAACCGAGGUGCGAGGGCUGUCGCUGACCCGAAAGGUCGUGCACGCCCGAGUGCCCUCAUACACAUCCAUCUCACCCCUAUGUGCACCACCGCGUGGGUCCCCCUUUGGCUUGUUCGGAGGGGGGCUUACGUUUUCACACAAACUUUGUAUGCAGUGUAGAAUGUAUUUUUUGUUUUUGCGAUCACGCAAUCAAUACAACUUUCAACAACGGAUCUCUUGGCUCUC
This 285-nucleotide unclassified non-coding RNA is filed under the name plant metagenome. Its description in RNAcentral is "partial contains small subunit ribosomal RNA, internal transcribed spacer 1, and 5.8S ribosomal RNA". The stretch from base 1 to 54 matches the Rfam family "Eukaryotic small subunit ribosomal RNA", at positions 1778 to 1831 of the family's 1831-position model. The record is from RNAcentral.